AUUUGAUGACAUCUAUUUCUCUUCUGAAACCAGGAUUUCAUAGAUUUCAAAUGCAAAGAACUCUGCAUGUGAUCAAGAUCAGGAAACCUGGAUCUAAAGGGUCUCUGAUCAGAAAACACUGUGGCAGGAACCAAGUGAACCCUGGUUGUACAGGAUUUUGUUUUUCUUUUUAUCAGUGAAGACGGAGUUCAAAAUGCUAUUGAAUCUGUAUAGCAGCGCAUCAGGCUUGGCUGAAGCAGGUGACUACAAAAGACAUUAGGCAAAAGAGACACGAGCCUGAAAUAUUAAAUGAAGUGUGCCGCUCUAAUUUCCUUCUAAAAAGAUAUGUUUUUGAGGUUAAGAUAAUCUGUGUUGCAUACGAUAGUAUAACACAUGCCAUUCCGUUUAAUAAUCUAUAAUUAGUAAGAAAAUGUUUUUCACCUAACACCUGCAGCCUUUUUAGUAAAUGAAUCAACAACAUAAACAACUCAGAGAUAAUGAUUUUUCACUAUGUACCUAUUCCUUUUGUUCUUCCUCUUUUAGAUCCAUGUAGAUUCGUGCUGUGGUUCUGCCCUACUUUAACAGUCAGCUGGUUGAUUUUUUUUCCUCUACGUCUUUGAUUGUACCACCAUAAAAAUGAAAAGAGCUUCAUCAGAUUUUAGUUUUGGUCUAGGGACUUUUCCUAGCUCUCAAGCCUGAAUGAAUAUUAAAGCAACUCAAAAUGCAACAAUUGUUAUUCUGAGGAUAAAAUAAAAAGAAAUAUUCUACUGAACA
RNAcentral lists this long non-coding RNA (753 nucleotides) under Phasianus colchicus (ring-necked pheasant). RNAcentral's name for it is "lncRNA (ENSPCLG00000003019.1)". Lineage: Eukaryota; Metazoa; Chordata; Aves; Galliformes; Phasianidae. The record is from RNAcentral.